RNAcentral lists this unclassified non-coding RNA (269 nucleotides) under plant metagenome. RNAcentral describes it as "partial contains small subunit ribosomal RNA, internal transcribed spacer 1, and 5.8S ribosomal RNA". The record is from RNAcentral.
UUUCCGUAGGUGAACCUGCGGAAGGACCAUUAAUGAGUUGUCAUGGGGUUCGAUGCUGGCAGCCAAUUUUUGGAUGCAUGUGCUUGCCCUAACAAUCAUCUUCCAAACACCUGUGCACAUUUUUGAGGGAGUCUUGAGUUGGUUGCCGCUCUUGGGUGAUUUUCUCACAUUCCCUUAAAUCAUUAUACGCUAUUAACAAUGUUGAACGUGCUCUGUGCCGCAAGGCUAUUAAUAUAAUACAACUUUUAACAACGGAUCUCUUGGCUCUC